This is a long non-coding RNA of Halichondria panicea, 720 nucleotides long. RefSeq lists it as uncharacterized. Lineage: Eukaryota; Metazoa; Porifera; Demospongiae; Suberitida; Halichondriidae. The transcript has 3 exons. The record is from RefSeq and is a predicted model, not a curated record.
CCAGUCCCUUUGAGUAGUCUCUCCUACAUCUAUGGUCAUACAACUACUGAAUGUGUUUCAUUUUCUACUACAUAGCCAGCUUGGCACACCUACUAUGCUUUGAUGGAUGACACUAGUUUGACAUUCUAGCUGUAAAAGCCCAGCAGUUUACAAUUGAGCCCGAGUCAGUGGUACAAGCCGAGGGAUUAUUUGCAAAGUUUGAGUGCCUGUCUCCUGCAUCAGCUCAUGCUUGGCUUGUGAAUGACCUUCAGUCUAGAGACUCUAACUUUUCAUCUGAAAUCAGAGUAGCUGGAGGCACUUUAGGUCGCCCCUCUGUGCUGAUAAUCCCAGCUAGCUCACAGUUCAACAACAGUGUCAUUCAGUGUGCAGCAUUUUCAGUGAGUGGUGUAGUGUUCUCAAGGAAUGCAACAUUGAUAGUUGAUUGUGUAAUGCUUGAGGUGUUGAAUGGUGAAACCAAAAUUACCGUCUCCAUAAUGAAUAAUUUCACUAUGAAUAACCUCGCCUAUCGUGUGGACAUCUCCCUGGUGCCUCUGGUCACCAAUGAGAUGGUUGCACUUCCUCCUCUAAAUGGGAUUCAAAAUCAAGUGCAGUUUAAUUAUCAACAACUUAAGAACCACACUGUCUGUGAUAUAUUCACCUUCACUGUAACUCCAAUUACUAGUGAGUCAGGAGUGGAAGGAAAUCAGAGUGAACCAGUCACUGGGUUCUUUACACAAGUAU